Molecule: long non-coding RNA, 458 nt
Organism: Trifolium pratense (red clover)
Lineage: Eukaryota; Viridiplantae; Streptophyta; Magnoliopsida; Fabales; Fabaceae
Exons: 2
Source: RefSeq, a predicted model, not a curated record
AUAUACAUUAAAACUGUAUUUAAAUUUUGGCUAUUUUUGCUUUGUUAUGUGGAAUCUUGUUUGGCUAUUCACUUUGCACAACGCUGCAUCGCCCGUCACCGCCUCUCGUCUUCUUCCUCACACUUUAAGCCUCUUUUGAUUCUCUCCUCUAAGGAUGCAUAAGAGGCUGUGCAGGUUCUAAUCAGGUUAUUUUGAUUAGUUGUUUAUAGGAGUAUACAUUUUUUUUUGACAUAGUUUACAGAAGUAUGCAUGUUUAUAGAAGUAUUGGUGAAAAGUAGGUUAGUAUAGAUGUGAUUUAUGGCUUUGGCUUGGACUUGCUUGUAGUUGGGUGAUAUGUAAGUUCGUUUUACUUGUUUUGUUUUAUUGGUUAAUGCUUAUAAGAUGCAUAUGUUGGGAUGUGGCAAUAAGAAGGAACUAAUUAAGCUUUUACAUAUAUAAAGUUAAAUCAUUGUGGAAAA